Molecule: transfer RNA, 72 nt
Filed under: Myxococcales bacterium
Lineage: Bacteria; Pseudomonadati; Myxococcota; Myxococcia; Myxococcales
Description: tRNA-Cys
Rfam family: tRNA
About the family: Transfer RNA (tRNA) molecules are approximately 80 nucleotides in length.
Source: RNAcentral
GGCGAGGUAGCCAAGUGGUUAGGCAGCGGAUUGCAAAUCCGUUAUACGUGGGUUCGAAUCCCAUCCUCGCCU